GACAGAGGGGGCAAGCGUUGUUCGGAUUUACUGGGCGUAAAGGGCGCGUAGGCGGCGCAACAAGUCACUUGUGAAAUCUCCGGGCUUAACUCGGAAAGGUCAAGUGAUACUGUUGUGCUAGAGUGCGGAAGGGGCAACUGGAAUUCUCGGUGUAGCGGUGAAAUGCGUAGAUAUCGAGAGGAACACCUGCGGCGAAGGCGGGUUGCUGGGCCGACACUGACGCUGAUGCGCGAAAGCCAGGGGAGCGAACGGG
This 253-nucleotide ribosomal RNA is filed under the name uncultured bacterium. Its description in RNAcentral is "partial 16S ribosomal RNA". It matches the Rfam family "Bacterial small subunit ribosomal RNA", at positions 524 to 776 of the family's 1533-position model. The record is from RNAcentral.